GACGAACGCUGGCGGCGUGCUUAACACAUGCAAGUCGAACGGAAAGGCCCUGCUUUUGUGGGGUGCUCGAGUGGCGAACGGGUGAGUAACACGUGAGUAACCUGCCCUUGACUUUGGGAUAACUUCAGGAAACUGGGGCUAAUACCGGAUAGGAGCUCCUGCUGCAUGGUGGGGGUUGGAAAGUUUCGGCGGUUGGGGAUGGACUCGCGGCUUAUCAGCUUGUUGGUGGGGUAGUGGCUUACCAAGGCUUUGGCGGGUAGCCGGCCUGAGAGGGUGACCGGCCACAUUGGGCCUGAGAAACGGCCCAGAGUCCUACGGGAGGCAGCAGUGGGGAAUAUUGCACAAUGGGCGGAAGCCUGAUGCAGCAACGCCGCGUGCGGGAUGACUGCCUUCGGGUUGUAAACCGCUUUCGCCUGUGACGAAGCGUGAGUGACGGUAAUGGGUAAAGAAGCACCGGCUAACUACGUG
Molecule: ribosomal RNA, 468 nt
Filed under: uncultured bacterium
Lineage: Bacteria
Description: partial 16S ribosomal RNA
Rfam family: Bacterial small subunit ribosomal RNA
Source: RNAcentral